UUCCAGACUCCUACGGGAGGCAGCAGUGGGGGAUAUUGCACAAUGGGGGGAACCCUGAUGCAGCGACGCCGCGUGGGUGAAGAAGCGCCUCGGCGCGUAAAGCCCUGUCAGCAGGGAAGAAAAUGACGGUACCUGAAGAAGAAGCCCCGGCUAACUACGUGCCAGCAGCCGCGGUAAUACGUAGGGGGCAAGCGUUAUCCGGAUUUACUGGGGGUAAAGGGAGCGUAGACGGCGGCGCAAGUCCGGAGUGAAAGCCCACGGGCCAACCGUGGGACUGCUCUGGAAACUGUGCGGCUUGAGUGCGGGAGGGGCAGGCGGAAUUCCUGGUGUAGCGGUGAAAUACGUAGAUAUCAGGAGGAACACCGGUGGCGAAGGCGGCCUGCUGGACUGCGACUGACGUUGAGGCCCGAAAGCGUGGGGAGCAAACAGGAUUAGAUACCCCAGUAA
This 447-nucleotide ribosomal RNA is filed under the name uncultured bacterium. RNAcentral describes it as "partial 16S ribosomal RNA". It matches the Rfam family "Bacterial small subunit ribosomal RNA", at positions 329 to 793 of the family's 1533-position model. The record is from RNAcentral.